GGAGGCGACAGCGGGAGUUUGCUCAGAUUAACAGCAGCAACACAGCAGGAACAAGGCCAGGGAGCCACACCAGAGCCGGUAGGAAGCUGCCUUGUACUGUGCCAGACUGGUAUUGGCCAAUCUAGCUUGGUAUUGCCUACACUGACUGCCACGGUUUCAGGCAGGGUGUCUCUCCCAACCCAACCUCUCAUACAAACCUGCCUGGCUGCUGCUGAGAUCCAUCAGUGGACACUUUCUCUUGGUCCCAUCGACCUCAGAAGCACGGUUGUCGGUGACCCGAGGGAGAGCCUUUUCUGUGGCUGCUCCUUGAUUGUGGGAUUCCUUCCCAAGAGAAGUCCUACUGCCUUGCUCUUUGUUAUCCUUCCGCCAGCAGCCUAAGACCUUCCUGUUCAGAGAGGCCUUUGGAAACUAAGAUGCUGAUCUCUCGGCCGCUGUCAGGGCAAACUGGAUUUUAAUUGCUAGUUCCAAAUGUUUUCUGAUGUAUUCUAAUUAUUGCGUGUGUGUUUUAACUCAUUGGUUUUUAUUGCUUUUAUAUUUUAUAAUGUUGUUUUUAAUUGUAAGCUGCCUUGAAUCUCAUCCUGGGAGAAAGGUGGGAUACAAAUACAUUAAAUAAGUGAUAUAUCUAUAUACCCUGGCCAUCUGACUGGGGUUCCUCCGCCACUCUGUGCAGCUUCCAACAGAAUAUAAAGACACACAAUACUUCAGGCAUUAAAAGCAUCCCGAUACAGUGGUACCUCUGGUUACAAACUUAAUUCGUUCCAGAGGUCCGUUCUUAACCUGAAACCAUUCUUAACAUGAGGUACCACUUUAGCUAAUGGGGCCUCCUGCUGCCGUCGCCACCGUGCGAUUUCUUUUCUCAUCCUGAGGUAAAGUUCUUAACCCAAGGUUCUCAUCCUGAAGUAAAGUUCUUAACGCAAGGUACUACUUCCGGGUUAGUGGAGUCUGUAACCCAAAGUGUUUGUAACCUGAGGUGUUUGUAACCCGAGGUACCACUGUACAGGGCUCCCUCCAGAUGUCUACAGAAGGUUGUAUAAUUGUUUCUCUCUUUGACAUCUGGCAUUUGGCUGCUGCUGCGUCAGAGCCCCUUGUGUGUAAUUCUCCACCCUUCUUGCCCAAAAGAGAUCCGAAGAGACGGCCGACUCGCUGGCCCAGAAAGCUCAGAUCACGGAAGAGGAAGCGAAGCUCCUGGCUCAGAAAGCCGCCGAGGCAGAGCAGGAGAUGCAGUGGAUCAAAGCCACAGCCAUCCGGACCGAGGAGGAGAAACGGCUGAUGGAGCAGAAGGUGCUGGAGGCAGAGAUGCUGGCGCUGAAGAUGGCGGAAGUGUCGGAGCGAAGGUCAGGCGGGGAGGGAAGCACACUCACCGGCUUGGGGGCUUUGCAGCAUUUCAUUCCUUGUUUUUGUUGACAUUGGGUUGUGCCCAGUGUAGUACAAAGUGAAAGGCUACUACUACUACUACUACUACUACUACUACUACUACAAAUAAUUUUAUUAUUUGUACCCCACCCAUCUGACUGGGUUGCCCCAGCCACUCUGGGCAGCUUCCAGCAUAUAUAAAAACACAACAAAACAUUAAACAUUUAAAAAACUUGCCUAUACAGGACUGCCUUCAGGUGUCUUCUAAAGGUUGUAUAGUUAUCUCCUUGAUAUCUGACAAGAGGGCACACCACAGGGAGGGAGCCACCACUGAGAAGCUCCUCUGCCUGGCUCCCUGUAACCUCGCAGUGAGGGAACCACCAGAAGGCCCUCAUAGAUAGAUAGAUAGAUAGAUAGAUAGAUAGAUGAUAGAUUAGAUAGAUAGAUACAUAGAUAGAUAGAUGAUAGAUAGAUAGAUAGAUAGAUGAUAGAUGAUAGAUAGAUAGAUAGAUAGAUAGAUAGAUAGAUAGAUAGAUGAUAGAUAGAUAGAUAGAUAGAUAGAUAGAUAGAUAGAUGAUAGAUAGAUAGAUAGAUAGAUAGAUAGAUGAUAGAGAUAGAUAGAUGAUAGAUAGAUGAUAGAUAGAUAGAUAGAUAGAUAGAUAGAUAGAUAGAUAGAGUCGUACCUUGGAAGUCAAAUGGAAUCCAUUCUGGAAGUCCAUUCAACUUCCAAAACGUUCGAAAACCAAAGCUCCUGCAGCCAAUCGGAAGCUGCGGAAGCCCUGUCGGACGUUCCAAAAAUAGUUCGGAAGCCAAAAUGUUCAAGAACUAAGCUGUUCAAAAAACAAGGUACGACUGUAGAUAGAUAGAUAGAUAUAGAUAUAGAUAGAUGAUAGAUAGAUGAUAGAUAGAUAGAUAGAUGAUAGAUGAUAGAUGAUAGAUGAUAGAUGAUAGAUGAUAGAUGACAGAUGAUAGAUGAUAGAUGAUAGAUGACAGAUGAUAGAUAGAUAGAUAGAUAGAUAGAUAGAUAGAUAGAUAGAUAUAGAUAUAUGAAGUAAAUCAAACAAAUUAAUACAAUAAUCAUAACAGAAGUAAUACAAUAAUCAUAACAGAAUCAAAACAGAACAGAAGUACAUAAACGCAGCACAGUAUAUCCGGGAGGGACUUAAUAGUAGGUUGGUGAAGUAUUUAUUACCAUCAGGAAAGCCAAUUUUGCAUGUUGCACUGUGCAAAGGGAGUUCUGUGCGCCUGUAAUCAUUGUAUAUACGAUAAAAUCCCACCAAACAGCGUAUAAUUUUUCAGGGCCCACCGAAACUUUAAUUUUAUGUAAUUCAACUGUAAUUUUAUGAGGAUUUGUUUCCAGCUAAUGCAAAACUCCUUAUACCAAUGCAAAAGUUGCAAACAAACAAACGAACAACUGGCCUGGCAGAGCUGGAUUUGCACGAUAUGCUUCCCCACACACGCACACCCCACCUGCUUGCUCCCCUUUUCUCCCUUGAAGCAGGCAGAGCUUUUCGACUGACACAGCUCGGCAUCCCUUAAGUACCAGAGCAUUUCGCGACAGGGAAUAUCCAGGGAUCAUAUUAUCUGGCAGCGAGACGCAGCUGCCUUUGGCGCACAAAGAGGGCAGGCAUCUGACAGGCAAAACAAGAUUACAUAAGUAUCCAGGGCAAGGAAGGAGGAGCAGGAGCGUUUGAGGAAGGGCUGGGAGAGAAGGAGAUAAUGAAGCAAAAGUGUGGGGGGGGGGUUGCCGGGGAAAGCACAGGAUGGAGAAAGAGAGAAACUCCUGGCGAGGGCUGUGUGGCAGUGGAGGCCGAAGUGGGAGCAGCAUUGAAGGGAGAUGUCACCUUUGUAGAAUAGGCUUGCUUCGACACCGACUUACAGACACCCUCUCUAUCACCCUUGUACCUACGGGACCGCCUCUCCCGGUAUGCCCCACGGAGAGCCUCAAGGUCCAUAAAUAGCAACACCCUAGUGGUCCCGGGCCCUAAGGAAGUUUGAUUAGCUUCAACCAGAGCCAGGGCCUUUUCAACACUGGCUCCGGCCUGGUGGAACGCUCUGCCUCAUGAGACCAGGGCCCUGCGGGAUCUGAUUUCUUUCCACAGGGCCUGUAAGACAGAGUUAUUCCACCUGGUCUUUGGCUUGGAGCCAGUUUGAUUCCCUCCCCCUUUCUUUUUUCUUUUUCCUUUCUCCUGUGAUGAGGCUGCAUUUUAGUAUUUUAAUGUUUCAAUAUUUUAAUUGUUGUAUUUUAAUCUUGUUUUUAGGUUUUUAGGUUGUAUUCAUUCAACUUGUUUUUAUUAUAGCUUGUUAGCCGCCCUGAGCCCGGCCUUGGCUGGGGAGGGCGGGGUAUAAAUAAAAAUUAUUAUUAUUAUUCUCACCCAGGCAAGCAAGAGGCAUUGGCACAAGUUCAUGGGCACAUAUGACUCCUAGGCCUAAGGUCCGCCACCUAUGAGAGCGUAAGAAGAGCCUGUCAGACCAAACCAAAGGCCCAUCCUACUCAUCAUCCUGCUCUCACCCUGGCCAACCAGAUGCCUGUGGGAUACCCCCAAGCAGGGACCAAGCACAAGAGCACUCUCCCUUCCUGUGGUUUUGCC
RNAcentral lists this long non-coding RNA (3944 nucleotides) under Podarcis lilfordi (Lilford's wall lizard). Lineage: Eukaryota; Metazoa; Chordata; Lepidosauria; Squamata; Lacertidae. The record is from RNAcentral.